AGGGGUGACUACUCCAUCUCAGCGUGUCCUGUCUUGGGGGAUAUCCCUGGUCCCCCCACAUCCUUACCACAGACACACGACGGAGGAAAGGGGGGGAUCUUGUGGCCUCCCGCUACUGGGGGGGUCAAUGGCUGAUUAGCUAGUUGGUGGGGUAAAGGCCGACCGGGGGGACGAUCUGCUGGCACUGAAGAGGACCCCCAACUACUCCGGGACUGAGACACGGGCCAUAUUGCUCCAUGAGGGCGCGCCGGGGACUUUCGGACAAUGUGAGCGACCCUGAUCCAACGGUGGCACGUGUCUGACACAGGUCAUCAUAUUGUAAAGCACUUUAGAACAAAAACCAACUGACUUCGUUCAUACCCGCGGCGUAUUACGGAAGCGGAUAGAUUAGCUCGGAUUAACUGGGUGCCAACAACAGGUGGGUUACUUAUUGUGCCAGGGGUGAUAUCACAUUACUGGGCCUAAAGCAUGGCCUUGCAGUCCGCUAAUACUGAUUUUAAACCACCGGACUUUAACUUCGAAACCGCAUUUGUAACUG
RNAcentral lists this ribosomal RNA (538 nucleotides) under Burkholderia sp. Vi57. RNAcentral's name for it is "partial 16S ribosomal RNA". It matches the Rfam family "Bacterial small subunit ribosomal RNA", at positions 102 to 635 of the family's 1533-position model. Lineage: Bacteria; Pseudomonadati; Pseudomonadota; Betaproteobacteria; Burkholderiales; Burkholderiaceae. The record is from RNAcentral.